UGGCGACAUUAGCGCUGUGGUACCACCCGAUCCCAUUCCGAACUCGGAAGUGAAACGCAGCUGCGCCGAUGGUAGUGUGCAUUUAGCAUGUGAGAGUAGGUCAUCGCCAGGUU
Molecule: ribosomal RNA, 113 nt
Filed under: Solilutibacter silvestris
Lineage: Bacteria; Pseudomonadati; Pseudomonadota; Gammaproteobacteria; Lysobacterales; Lysobacteraceae
Source: RNAcentral